Molecule: ribosomal RNA, 1662 nt
Filed under: Escherichia coli 2-316-03_S4_C3
Lineage: Bacteria; Pseudomonadati; Pseudomonadota; Gammaproteobacteria; Enterobacterales; Enterobacteriaceae
Description: bacterial LSU rRNA
Rfam family: Bacterial large subunit ribosomal RNA
Source: RNAcentral
GAAGUGCGAAUGCUGACAUAAGUAACGAUAAAGCGGGUGAAAAGCCCGCUCGCCGGAAGACCAAGGGUUCCUGUCCAACGUUAAUCGGGGCAGGGUGAGUCGACCCCUAAGGCGAGGCCGAAAGGCGUAGUCGAUGGGAAACAGGUUAAUAUUCCUGUACUUGGUGUUACUGCGAAGGGGGGACGGAGAAGGCUAUGUUGGCCGGGCGACGGUUGUCCCGGUUUAAGCGUGUAGGCUGGUUUUCCAGGCAAAUCCGGAAAAUCAAGGCUGAGGCGUGAUGACGAGGCACUACGGUGCUGAAGCGACAAAUGCCCUGCUUCCAGGAAAAGCCUCUAAGCAUCAGGUAACAUCAAAUCGUACCCCAAACCGACACAGGUGGUCAGGUAGAGAAUACCAAGGCGCUUGAGAGAACUCGGGUGAAGGAACUAGGCAAAAUGGUGCCGUAACUUCGGGAGAAGGCACGCUGAUAUGUAGGUGAAGCGACUUGCUCGUGGAGCUGAAAUCAGUCGAAGAUACCAGCUGGCUGCAACUGUUUAUUAAAAACACAGCACUGUGCAAACACGAAAGUGGACGUAUACGGUGUGACGCCUGCCCGGUGCCGGAAGGUUAAUUGAUGGGGUUAGCGGUAACGCGAAGCUCUUGAUCGAAGCCCCGGUAAACGGCGGCCGUAACUAUAACGGUCCUAAGGUAGCGAAAUUCCUUGUCGGGUAAGUUCCGACCUGCACGAAUGGCGUAAUGAUGGCCAGGCUGUCUCCACCCGAGACUCAGUGAAAUUGAACUCGCUGUGAAGAUGCAGUGUACCCGCGGCAAGACGGAAAGACCCCGUGAACCUUUACUAUAGCUUGACACUGAACAUUGAGCCUUGAUGUGUAGGAUAGGUGGGAGGCUUUGAAGUGUGGACGCCAGUCUGCAUGGAGCCGACCUUGAAAUACCACCCUUUAAUGUUUGAUGUUCUAACGUGGGCCCCUUACCGGGGUUGCGGACAGUGUCUGGUGGGUAGUUUGACUGGGGCGGUCUCCUCCUAAAGAGUAACGGAGGAGCACGAAGGUUGGCUAAUCCUGGUCGGACAUCAGGAGGUUAGUGCAAUGGCAUAAGCCAGCUUGACUGCGAGCGUGACGGCGCGAGCAGGUGCGAAAGCAGGUCAUAGUGAUCCGGUGGUUCUGAAUGGAAGGGCCAUCGCUCAACGGAUAAAAGGUACUCCGGGGAUAACAGGCUGAUACCGCCCAAGAGUUCAUAUCGACGGCGGUGUUUGGCACCUCGAUGUCGGCUCAUCACAUCCUGGGGCUGAAGUAGGUCCCAAGGGUAUGGCUGUUCGCCAUUUAAAGUGGUACGCGAGCUGGGUUUAGAACGUCGUGAGACAGUUCGGUCCCUAUCUGCCGUGGGCGCUGGAGAACUGAGGGGGGCUGCUCCUAGUACGAGAGGACCGGAGUGGACGCAUCACUGGUGUUCGGGUUGUCAUGCCAAUGGCACUGCCCGGUAGCUAAAUGCGGAAGAGAUAAGUGCUGAAAGCAUCUAAGCACGAAACUUGCCCCGAGAUGAGUUCUCCCUGACUCCUUGAGAGUCCUGAAGGAACGUUGAAGACGACGACGUUGAUAGGCCGGGUGUGUAAGCGCAGCGAUGCGUUGAGCUAACCGGUACUAAUGAACCGUGAGGCUUAACCUU